Molecule: long non-coding RNA, 151 nt
Organism: Solanum dulcamara
Lineage: Eukaryota; Viridiplantae; Streptophyta; Magnoliopsida; Solanales; Solanaceae
Exons: 3
Source: RefSeq, a predicted model, not a curated record
CCAAAACGUUACCAAACAGCCCCGAAGUUUCAGCUGCGCUAAGGAGGUUUCCGAGGCGCAAUUUUGGCUAGUUUUGGCCAAUUUCGGGUAAGGUUAAGGAGGUAUCAAGGCAAGCCGAAUUUCUAUUAAUCCCGAAAAAGGUACAGGCGCG